AACCCAGGAGAAGCCCCAUCCCGCAAUGAGGGCGCGGCAGGCUAAUUUUGCCUACGGCUGAACAGUUGGGGCAAACGGUGGUUAACACGCUGGAUCCCUCUCUAGUGAAGGCCCGACCGUCCCGAUCUUUGGGGUCCGCACCAAUGAUCCCAUGAAAAACAAAGGACGGUGUGGACCUGCGCCCCUCUUCCCCGUAGCGACCGUGUUGGAGAAACUCGCUCGGAGGACCAGUGUGCUGCGGGGGCCAAAACUCACGCUGCCCAGCCUUGAAGAGCUGGAGAACGGAGCCGGGCCCCGCCGAACCUGCGCUCGCAGAGAAUGUUAUCUUCACAGCAACUUAGCAAGCCCCACAGAACAAAAGUUAAAGCGUGAUUGCACUAUACCUUGCCCCGGGUUACUCAGGCGCCUGUCUCCCAUUUUGGACAUGCAGGAAAUGUUGGAUUUGGGGAGGUUUGAUUUGGCUGGGUUUGGUUUGUCUAUAUAAGCCCUGCUGGAGUACUGUACUGAGGAACGCGCCUUGAUGGACUCGGGUGUUAAUUAACGCGCUAAUUUGAGCUUC
Molecule: long non-coding RNA, 559 nt
Filed under: Homo sapiens (human)
Lineage: Eukaryota; Metazoa; Chordata; Mammalia; Primates; Hominidae
Description: HSALNT0327977
Source: RNAcentral